CCUACGGGGAGCAGCAGUGAGGAAUAUUGGUCAAUGGACGCAAGUCUGAACCAGCCAUGCCGCGUGCAGGAAGACGGCUCUAUGAGUUGUAAACUGCUUUUGUACGAGGGUAAACGCAGAUACGCGCAUCUGACUGAAAGUAUCGUACGAAUAAGGAUCGGCUAACUUCGUGCCAGCAGCCGCGGCAAUACGGAGGAUUCAAGCGUUAUCCGGAUUUAUUGGGUUUAAAGGGUGCGUAGGCGGUCAGGUAAGUUAGAUGUGAAAUCCCGAGGCUCAACUUCGGAAUUGCCUCUGAUACUGUUCGGCUAGAGAAUAGGUGCGGUAGGCGGAAUGUAUGGUGUAGCGGUGAAAUGCUUAGAGAUAA
This 364-nucleotide ribosomal RNA is filed under the name uncultured bacterium. RNAcentral's name for it is "partial 16S ribosomal RNA". It matches the Rfam family "Bacterial small subunit ribosomal RNA", at positions 338 to 699 of the family's 1533-position model. The record is from RNAcentral.